CCUACGUGUGGCAGCAGUGGGGAAUAUUGGACAAUGGGCGAAAGCCUGAUCCAGCCAUGCCGCAUGUGUGAAGAAGGCCUUCGGGUUGUAAAGCACUUUCAGUGGGGAAGAAAGCCUUGGGGCUAAUACCCUCGAGGAAGGACAUCACCCACAGAAGAAGCACCGGCUAACUCCGUGCCAGCAGCCGCGGUAAUACGGAGGGUGCGAGCGUUAAUCGGAAUUACUGGGCGUAAAGCGCGCGUAGGCGGUCUGAUAAGCCGGUUGUGAAAGCCCCGGGCUCAACCUGGGAACGGCAUCCGGAACUGUCAGGCUAGAGUGCAGGAGAGGAAGGUAGAAUUCCCGGUGUAGCGGUGAAAUGCGUAGAGAUCGGGAGGAAUACCAGUGGCGAAGGCGGCCUUCUGGACUGACACUGACGCUGAGGUGCGAAAGCGUGGGUAGCAAACAGGAUUAGAUACCCCGGUAGUC
Molecule: ribosomal RNA, 465 nt
Filed under: Vreelandella stevensii
Lineage: Bacteria; Pseudomonadati; Pseudomonadota; Gammaproteobacteria; Oceanospirillales; Halomonadaceae
Description: partial 16S ribosomal RNA
Rfam family: Bacterial small subunit ribosomal RNA
Source: RNAcentral